RNAcentral lists this ribosomal RNA (432 nucleotides) under Achromobacter xylosoxidans. Its description in RNAcentral is "bacterial SSU rRNA". It matches the Rfam family "Bacterial small subunit ribosomal RNA", at positions 1005 to 1441 of the family's 1533-position model. The record is from RNAcentral. Lineage: Bacteria; Pseudomonadati; Pseudomonadota; Betaproteobacteria; Burkholderiales; Alcaligenaceae.
GAUCGAAGAGUGCUCGCAAGAGAACCGGAACACAGGUGCUGCAUGGCUGUCGUCAGCUCGUGUCGUGAGAUGUUGGGUUAAGUCCCGCAACGAGCGCAACCCUUGUCAUUAGUUGCUACGAAAGGGCACUCUAAUGAGACUGCCGGUGACAAACCGGAGGAAGGUGGGGAUGACGUCAAGUCCUCAUGGCCCUUAUGGGUAGGGCUUCACACGUCAUACAAUGGUCGGGACAGAGGGUCGCCAACCCGCGAGGGGGAGCCAAUCCCAGAAACCCGAUCGUAGUCCGGAUCGCAGUCUGCAACUCGACUGCGUGAAGUCGGAAUCGCUAGUAAUCGCGGAUCAGCAUGUCGCGGUGAAUACGUUCCCGGGUCUUGUACACACCGCCCGUCACACCAUGGGAGUGGGUUUUACCAGAAGUAGUUAGCCUAACCG